RNAcentral lists this ribosomal RNA (484 nucleotides) under uncultured bacterium. RNAcentral's name for it is "partial 16S ribosomal RNA". It matches the Rfam family "Bacterial small subunit ribosomal RNA", at positions 30 to 507 of the family's 1533-position model. The record is from RNAcentral.
AUUGAACGCUGGCGGCAGGCCUAACACAUGCAAGUCGAGCGGAGGAAGGGAGCUUGCUCCUGGAUUCAGCGGCGGACGGGUGAGUAAUGCCUAGGAAUCUGCCUUGUAGUGGGGGAUAACGUCCGGAAACGGGCGCUAAUACCGCAUACGUCCUGAGGGAGAAAGUGGGGGAUCUUCGGACCUCACGCUAUCAUAUGAGCCUAGGUCGGAUUAGCUAGUUGGUGGGGUAAAGGCCUACCAAGGCGACGAUCCGUAACUGGUCUGAGAGGAUGAUCAGUCACACUGGAACUGAGACACGGUCCAGACUCCUGCGGGAGGCAGCAGUGGGGAAUAUUAGGCAGUGGGCGAAAGCCUGAUCCAGCCAUGCCGCGUGUGUGAAGAAGGUCUUCGGAUUGUAAAGCCCUUUUAGUUGGGAGGAAGGGCAGUAAGUUAAUACCUUGCUGUUUUGACGGUACCUACAGAAUAAGCACCGGCUAACUUCGUG